RNAcentral lists this ribosomal RNA (1180 nucleotides) under Salmonella enterica subsp. enterica serovar Kentucky. Its description in RNAcentral is "partial 23S ribosomal RNA". It matches the Rfam family "Bacterial large subunit ribosomal RNA", at positions 1763 to 2925 of the family's 2925-position model. RNAcentral also lists the same sequence under 1 other name. Lineage: Bacteria; Pseudomonadati; Pseudomonadota; Gammaproteobacteria; Enterobacterales; Enterobacteriaceae. The record is from RNAcentral.
GGAGCUGAAGUCAGUCGAAGAUACCAGCUGGCUGCAACUGUUUAUUAAAAACACAGCACUGUGCAAACACGAAAGUGGACGUAUACGGUGUGACGCCUGCCCGGUGCCGGAAGGUUAAUUGAUGGGGUCAGCGCAAGCGAAGCUCCUGAUCGAAGCCCCGGUAAACGGCGGCCGUAACUAUAACGGUCCUAAGGUAGCGAAAUUCCUUGUCGGGUAAGUUCCGACCUGCACGAAUGGCGUAAUGAUGGCCAGGCUGUCUCCACCCGAGACUCAGUGAAAUUGAACUCGCUGUGAAGAUGCAGUGUACCCGCGGCAAGACGGAAAGACCCCGUGAACCUUUACUAUAGCUUGACACUGAACAUUGAGCCUUGAUGUGUAGGAUAGGUGGGAGGCUUUGAAGUGUGGACGCCAGUCUGCAUGGAGCCGACCUUGAAAUACCACCCUUUAAUGUUUGAUGUUCUAACGUGGACCCGUGAUCCGGGUUGCGGACAGUGUCUGGUGGGUAGUUUGACUGGGGCGGUCUCCUCCUAAAGAGUAACGGAGGAGCACGAAGGUUGGCUAAUCCUGGUCGGACAUCAGGAGGUUAGUGCAAUGGCAUAAGCCAGCUUGACUGCGAGCGUGACGGCGCGAGCAGGUGCGAAAGCAGGUCAUAGUGAUCCGGUGGUUCUGAAUGGAAGGGCCAUCGCUCAACGGAUAAAAGGUACUCCGGGGAUAACAGGCUGAUACCGCCCAAGAGUUCAUAUCGACGGCGGUGUUUGGCACCUCGAUGUCGGCUCAUCACAUCCUGGGGCUGAAGUAGGUCCCAAGGGUAUGGCUGUUCGCCAUUUAAAGUGGUACGCGAGCUGGGUUUAGAACGUCGUGAGACAGUUCGGUCCCUAUCUGCCGUGGGCGCUGGAGAACUGAGGGGGGCUGCUCCUAGUACGAGAGGACCGGAGUGGACGCAUCACUGGUGUUCGGGUUGUCAUGCCAAUGGCACUGCCCGGUAGCUAAAUGCGGAAGAGAUAAGUGCUGAAAGCAUCUAAGCACGAAACUUGCCCCGAGAUGAGUUCUCCCUGAGACUUUAGGUCUCCUGAAGGAACGUUGAAGACGACGACGUUGAUAGGCCGGGUGUGUAAGCGCAGCGAUGCGUUGAGCUAACCGGUACUAAUGAACCGUGAGGCUUAACCUUACAACGCCGAAG